UCUAAUACCGGAUACGACCUCUGGGGGCAUCCCUGGAGGUGGAAAGCUCCGGCGGUGCAGGAUGAGCCCGCGGCCUAUCAGCUUGUUGGUGGGGUGAUGGCCUACCAAGGCGACGACGGG
RNAcentral lists this ribosomal RNA (120 nucleotides) under Streptomyces roseoverticillatus. Its description in RNAcentral is "partial 16S rRNA". It matches the Rfam family "Bacterial small subunit ribosomal RNA", at positions 162 to 283 of the family's 1533-position model. The record is from RNAcentral. Lineage: Bacteria; Bacillati; Actinomycetota; Actinomycetes; Kitasatosporales; Streptomycetaceae.